Picea glauca (white spruce) is the source of this 121-nucleotide non-coding RNA. The record is from Rfam. NCBI's taxonomy places the organism in Eukaryota, Viridiplantae, Streptophyta, Pinopsida, Pinales, Pinaceae.
ACAUGCUUACAAUGUAACGUUAAUGCAUCAUAUUCCAUUAGAACUCUAUAGUUAAGCGCACUUGGGCUAGAGUAGUACUAGGAUGGGUGACCCCUCGGGAAGUCCUAGUGUUUUACAUGCC